CCUACGGGUGGCAGCAGUAGGGAAUAUUGGUCAAUGGGGGAAACUCUGACGCAGCAACGCCGCGUGAAGGAUGAAGGUUUUCGGAUUGUAAAAUUCUUUUGUUAUAGAAGAUAAUGACCGUAUGUAACGAAUAAUCACCUGCCAACUCCGUGCCAGCAACCGCCGUAAUACUGAGGGCGCACGGCUUACUCGGAAUAACUGGGCGUAACGAGCGCGGAGUCGGGUUAGCAAGUCCGAUGUGAAAUCCUUUGGCUCAACCAUAGAACUGCAUUUGAAACUGGUACGCUAGAGUUUGGGAGAGGUAGGUGGAAUUCAUGGUGUAGGGGUAAAAUGCGUAGAGAUAAAGAGGAAUACCAAUUGCGAAGGCGACCGGCUAGAACAUAACUGACGCUGAGGCGCGAAAGCGUGGGGAGCAAACAGGAUUAGAUACCCGGGUAGUC
RNAcentral lists this ribosomal RNA (440 nucleotides) under uncultured bacterium. Its description in RNAcentral is "partial 16S ribosomal RNA". It matches the Rfam family "Bacterial small subunit ribosomal RNA", at positions 338 to 795 of the family's 1533-position model. The record is from RNAcentral.